CAGAAAACUUUGAAGAGGAGAAUUUUGCACAAAAUCGCAGGAGAAGUGCAAAUACUAACAAUGAAGAGAAUGAUGAUUCUGCAGAAUCAAAUAAUCAUCGAGUGCAAAGUGAUGAUGUAAUACUAAAUGAAUCUCGACAAGAAGGAUGAAAUUGUUCAAGUCAAACAAGCAAACCCUUCACUUUCUGACAUUGAGAUAGUUGAGAAAAU
Molecule: long non-coding RNA, 209 nt
Organism: Asparagus officinalis (garden asparagus)
Lineage: Eukaryota; Viridiplantae; Streptophyta; Magnoliopsida; Asparagales; Asparagaceae
Exons: 3
Source: RefSeq, a predicted model, not a curated record